This 2906-nucleotide ribosomal RNA is filed under the name Escherichia coli. RNAcentral describes it as "bacterial LSU rRNA". It matches the Rfam family "Bacterial large subunit ribosomal RNA". The record is from RNAcentral. Lineage: Bacteria; Pseudomonadati; Pseudomonadota; Gammaproteobacteria; Enterobacterales; Enterobacteriaceae.
UUAAGCGACUAAGCGUACACGGUGGAUGCCCUGGCAGUCAGAGGCGAUGAAGGACGUGCUAAUCUGCGAUAAGCGUCGGUAAGGUGAUAUGAACCGUUAUAACCGGCGAUUUCCGAAUGGGGAAACCCAGUGUGAUUCGUCACACUAUCAUUAACUGAAUCCAUAGGUUAAUGAGGCGAACCGGGGGAACUGAAACAUCUAAGUACCCCGAGGAAAAGAAAUCAACCGAGAUUCCCCCAGUAGCGGCGAGCGAACGGGGAGCAGCCCAGAGCCUGAAUCAGUGUGUGUGUUAGUGGAAGCGUCUGGAAAGGCGCGCGAUACAGGGUGACAGCCCCGUACACAAAAAUGCACAUGCUGUGAGCUCGAUGAGUAGGGCGGGACACGUGGUAUCCUGUCUGAAUAUGGGGGGACCAUCCUCCAAGGCUAAAUACUCCUGACUGACCGAUAGUGAACCAGUACCGUGAGGGAAAGGCGAAAAGAACCCCGGCGAGGGGAGUGAAAAAGAACCUGAAACCGUGUACGUACAAGCAGUGGGAGCACAGAGCAAUCUGUGUGACUGCGUACCUUUUGUAUAAUGGGUCAGCGACUUAUAUUCUGUAGCAAGGUUAACCGAAUAGGGGAGCCGAAGGGAAACCGAGUCUUAACUGGGCGUUAAGUUGCAGGGUAUAGACCCGAAACCCGGUGAUCUAGCCAUGGGCAGGUUGAAGGUUGGGUAACACUAACUGGAGGACCGAACCGACUAAUGUUGAAAAAUUAGCGGAUGACUUGUGGCUGGGGGUGAAAGGCCAAUCAAACCGGGAGAUAGCUGGUUCUCCCCGAAAGCUAUUUAGGUAGCGCCUCGUGAAUUCAUCUCCGGGGGUAGAGCACUGUUUCGGCAAGGGGGUCAUCCCGACUUACCAACCCGAUGCAAACUGCGAAUACCGGAGAAUGUUAUCACGGGAGACACACGGCGGGUGCUAACGUCCGUCGUGAAGAGGGAAACAACCCAGACCGCCAGCUAAGGUCCCAAAGUCAUGGUUAAGUGGGAAACGAUGUGGGAAGGCCCAGACAGCCAGGAUGUUGGCUUAGAAGCAGCCAUCAUUUAAAGAAAGCGUAAUAGCUCACUGGUCGAGUCGGCCUGCGCGGAAGAUGUAACGGGGCUAAAACCAUGCACCGAAGCUGCGGCAGCGACGCUGAUGCGUUGUUGGGUAGGGGAGCGUUCUGUAAGUCUGCGAAGGUGUGCUGUGAGGCAUGCUGGAGGUAUCAGAAGUGCGAAUGCUGACAUAAGUAACGAUAAAGCGGGUGAAAAGCCCGCUCGCCGGAAGACCAAGGGUUCCUGUCCAACGUUAAUCGGGGCAGGGUGAGUCGACCCCUAAGGCGAGGCCGAAAGGCGUAGUCGAUGGGAAACAGGUUAAUAUUCCUGUACUUGGUGUUACUGCGAAGGGGGGACGGAGAAGGCUAUGUUGGCCGGGCGACGGUUGUCCCGGUUUAAGCGUGUAGGCUGGUUUUCCAGGCAAAUCCGGAAAAUCAAGGCUGAGGCGUGAUGACGAGGCACUACGGUGCUGAAGCAACAAAUGCCCUGCUUCCAGGAAAAGCCUCUAAGCAUCAGGUAACAUCAAAUCGUACCCCAAACCGACACAGGUGGUCAGGUAGAGAAUACCAAGGCGCUUGAGAGAACUCGGGUGAAGGAACUAGGCAAAAAUGGUGCCGUAACUUCGGGAGAAGGCACGCUGAUAUGUAGGUGAAGCGACUUGCUCGUGGAGCUGAAAUCAGUCGAAGAUACCAGCUGGCUGCAACUGUUUAUUAAAAACACAGCACUGUGCAAACACGAAAGUGGACGUAUACGGUGUGACGCCUGCCCGGUGCCGGAAGGUUAAUUGAUGGGGUCAGCGCAAGCGAAGCUCUUGAUCGAAGCCCCGGUAAACGGCGGCCGUAACUAUAACGGUCCUAAGGUAGCGAAAUUCCUUGUCGGGUAAGUUCCGACCUGCACGAAUGGCGUAAUGAUGGCCAGGCUGUCUCCACCCGAGACUCAGUGAAAUUGAACUCGCUGUGAAGAUGCAGUGUACCCGCGGCAAGACGGAAAGACCCCGUGAACCUUUACUAUAGCUUGACACUGAACAUUGAGCCUUGAUGUGUAGGAUAGGUGGGAGGCUUUGAAGUGUGGACGCCAGUCUGCAUGGAGCCGGCCUUGAAAUACCACCCUUUAAUGUUUGAUGUUCUAACGUUGACCCGUGAUCCGGGUUGCGGACAGUGUCUGGUGGGUAGUUUGACUGGGGCGGUCUCCUCCUAAAGAGUAACGGAGGAGCACGAAGGUUGGCUAAUCCUGGUCGGACAUCAGGAGGUUAGUGCAAUGGCAUAAGCCAGCUUGACUGCGAGCGUGACGGCGCGAGCAGGUGCGAAAGCAGGUCAUAGUGAUCCGGUGGUUCUGAAUGGAAGGGCCAUCGCUCAACGGAUAAAAGGUACUCCGGGGAUAACAGGCUGAUACCGCCCAAGAGUUCAUAUCGACGGCGGUGUUUGGCACCUCGAUGUCGGCUCAUCACAUCCUGGGGCUGAAGUAGGUCCCAAGGGUAUGGCUGUUCGCCAUUUAAAGUGGUACGCGAGCUGGGUUUAGAACGUCGUGAGACAGUUCGGUCCCUAUCUGCCGUGGGCGCUGGAGAACUGAGGGGGGCUGCUCCUAGUACGAGAGGACCGGAGUGGACGCAUCACUGGUGUUCGGGUUGUCAUGCCAAUGGCACUGCCCGGUAGCUAAAUGCGGAAGAGAUAAGUGCUGAAAGCAUCUAAGCACGAAACUUGCCCCGAGAUGAGUUCUCCCUGACUCCUUGAGAGUCCUGAAGGAACGUUGAAGACGACGACGUUGAUAGGCCGGGUGUGUAAGCGCAGCGAUGCGUUGAGCUAACCGGUACUAAUGAACCGUGAGGCUUAACCUU